CCUUUGUACACACCGCCCGUCGCUACUACCGAUUGAAUGGUUAUAGUGAGCAUAUGGGAUCAGUAGGAUUAGACUGGCAACAGUCUUUCCCUGCAGAGAACUAUGGCAAACUAGGCUAUUUAGAGG
Molecule: ribosomal RNA, 126 nt
Filed under: Mucor lilianae
Lineage: Eukaryota; Fungi; Mucoromycota; Mucoromycetes; Mucorales; Mucoraceae
Description: partial small subunit ribosomal RNA
Rfam family: Eukaryotic small subunit ribosomal RNA
Source: RNAcentral